UGUGUGUGUGUGUGUGUGUGUGUGUGUGCGGCCCCCCACUGACUUUUCUAGAUCAGGUGGUGUCAACGCCCCCUUCCCCAGUCCCUCCUGCAGCUGCGGGACUGGACGGCCUCUGUGCUCUGCUCUCCGCCUGACCUCCCGGCCAAAGGCUUCAGCAACCAGAUCCCGCUGGUGGCGCGGGGAAACUGCACCUUCUACGAGAAAGUGCGGCUGGCCCAGGGCGGCGGGGCGCGCGGACUGCUCAUCGUCAGCAGGGAGACACUGGUAGGGCCCCGGGGCCUCGAGACCGGGGUUUGGUUUGCUGACCGUGGCUGCGGACCCGUGUCUCUUGGAGGGGGACCUGUUCCUGAGCAGUCGCGGGGGCUCUGGGGAGACCGGAUCCCAUCUCGCUCUACAAGGCCUCGGGGCAGAGCUCGGGGGUACCCUCUGAGGAGCAGCUGGCAUGGGCCCACAUCCCACGUGCCUGCCUCUCCCCCAGGCAGGCCCCCCUCCCCCCCCCCAGAGCAGAGUGACACCUGAGCAACCUGACCCCAAGGCUUGAACACGGAAGGAGAGCUUUUCCUCCCCCGGUGGGGAGGGGCAGACCCCCCCCCCCCGCCACACACACACACACCCCGGCCCAAGCUGCCUCCGGGAGGGCUAGCUCUUCAGGCCGCCUCGCCCUUGGGAAGCCAAGGGCCCCCCUCCCGCCACACCCUCCUCUCGGCCCCCAGGUCCCUCCAGGAGGCAACAAGACACAGUACGAGGAGAUCGGCAUUCCCGUGGCCCUGCUCAGCUACAAAGACAUGCUAGACAUUUUCAAGGUAGGGUUUCCCACGUCCUCUGGUCUGCGGCUGUUGCCAGGCCGUGAGUAUCUGGCGGGCAGGGGUGGGCAGGGACCCACGAGUGAGGCCGCCCACCCGGGGCCGGUGGUGACACUGACCCGUGGGAACGGAGACGCUGGCCCCAGCGGUCAGAGCGCCCAGGCUCCGGGGCCUCUGUGCCGAGCGGCAGCCGGACACUGGCUUCCGGGCCAGACCGGCCGGCCCCGCCCACACGCCAGAGACCCUGAGCUUGGCUCUCCCUGCCCACACACGGCCCCGUCUGACCAGAGGCCUGUGUGCACCCACCAUCGGGGGAGUUGUUGGUUCCAGAACAGGCGAGCUUCCAGACACAAUUAAAAUGGAAACGUUCAAUCUUUGUGGAAGCUUCUGGCAAUUUGCAGGACAUGUCUCGAUCCUGAUUGCAGCCUCACAGCUCCCCCAAGGGAACCAUUGUCGGCCUCCUGCAUGCUUCCCGGGACGACGUCCCCACUCCCGCACGCGCACACGCAUCUAGGUUUAGGAUUCGUGUCCCCGCACGCGCGUGGGCCCCUUCACCGGACGUCGUGUGACACUCGUUCCGACAGUUGACUUCUCUGGGGUGGGAGUGGCAGGCGAAGGCUCUCCCCGGGCCCCGGCUCCCCACGCGUGGGCUGGUCUGGGCUCUCUGGGUGGCCGAGGGGGCGGGACGGCAGCCCCCGCCUUGAGCUCUGGUGCCUUCCCCGAGGCAGAGUUUUGGCCGAUCGGCGAGGGCAGCGCUGUAUGCCCCCAACGAGCCCAUGCUUGACUACAACAUGGUCAUCAUCUUCGUCAUGGCCGUCGGCACCGUCGCCCUCGGGGGCUACUGGGCCGGGAGCCGGGACGUGAGGAAGUGAGUGUCCCGGGGAGACCUCUCCCUGGCCGCCCAGGGAAGCCCGUGACGCGGUCGGUGCCGGGUUGGGGGUCCGCGGGUGGUCCUAGCACUGGCCGAGGGCAUCGCGCCUCUUUCCAUCAAAAGCGGCCGUCACGGCUUGGCUCCUCCUGGGGCUGGGGCCCGCCUGGCAGCCCCUCGCCGCGUGGUCUCGCGAGGUCCCCGGGGUGGGGUCCGGCUCUCUCGUCGAAGGGACGGCAGGGAUGUGUGAUGGGCGUGGAGGGGCCGCCCCUCAGCCCCGCGGACGCCUGCGUCCUGCUGCCCCUGCCCGCCCCUCCCCGUCCCCGUGCCGGCCGGCAGGGUGCCCCUGACCCGGCUGUGCCUCCCAAGAAGGUCCAUGAAACACAAGCGGGAUGACGGGCCCGAGAAGCGGGAGGACGAGGC
RNAcentral lists this long non-coding RNA (2094 nucleotides) under Lynx pardinus (Iberian lynx). The record is from RNAcentral. Lineage: Eukaryota; Metazoa; Chordata; Mammalia; Carnivora; Felidae.